This 398-nucleotide ribosomal RNA is filed under the name uncultured bacterium. RNAcentral's name for it is "bacterial SSU rRNA". It matches the Rfam family "Bacterial small subunit ribosomal RNA", at positions 361 to 776 of the family's 1533-position model. The record is from RNAcentral.
AUAUUGCACAAUGGGGGAAACCCUGAUGCAGCGACGCCGCGUGAGCGAUGAAGUAUUUCGGUAUGUAAAGCUCUAUCAGCAGGGAAGAANAUGACGGUACCUGACUAAGAAGCCCCGGCUAACUACGUGCCAGCAGCCGCGGUAAUACGUAGGGGGCAAGCGUUAUCCGGAUUUACUGGGUGUAAAGGGAGCGUAGACGGCUGUGCAAGCCAGAUGUGAAAGCCCGGGGCUCAACCCCGGGAGUGCAUUUGAAACUGUCCAGCUGGAGUGCAGGAGAGGUAAGCGGAAUUCCUAGUGUAGCGGUGAAAUGCAUAGAUAUUAGGAGGAACACCAGUGGCGAAGGCGGCUUACUGGACUGUAACUGACACUGAGGCUCGAAAGCGUGGGGAGCAAACAGG